GCGCCACAGUGGAAGAAGGACAGACUUUCGGUUGUGCUGGGUCAGCCGAAGUCAGUUUGUGUUUGAUCUCAUCUCUUCAGCCAUGGGACUUCUUCUGUGUGUGGCGCUAUUAUCGCUGCUGCUAAUUGGAGAGCUUCAGGCAAGCGCUAAACCUUCCUAUUGGGGAUUUGAGCCAGGCAUUUCGGACAUGAGCUAUGAGCCCCAGGUUCCCA
This is a long non-coding RNA of Dicentrarchus labrax (European seabass), 212 nucleotides long. RefSeq lists it as uncharacterized. NCBI's taxonomy places the organism in Eukaryota, Metazoa, Chordata, Actinopteri, Moronidae. The transcript has 3 exons. The record is from RefSeq and is a predicted model, not a curated record.